Molecule: ribosomal RNA, 450 nt
Filed under: uncultured Glomeromycotina
Lineage: Eukaryota; Fungi; Glomeromycota
Description: SSU rRNA
Rfam family: Eukaryotic small subunit ribosomal RNA
Source: RNAcentral
AGUAGCCGCGGUAAUUCCAGCUCCAAUAGCGUAUAUUAAAGUUGUUGCAGUUAAAAAGCUCGUAGUUGAAUUUCGGGGUUUAUCCGUCGGUCGGGCUUUUGGGUCUGUACUGGCGUGAUGGAUUCCUACCUUCUGAAUAACCGGCAUGUCAUUAAUUUGGUGCGCCGGGGAAGCAGGACUGUUACCUUGAAAAAAUUAGAGUGCUUAAAGCAGGCUUAUGCCUGAAUACAUUAGCAUGGAAUAAUGAAAUAGGACGGCAUGGUUCUAUUUUGUUGGUUUCUAGGAUCACCGUAAUGAUUAAUAGGGAUAGUUGGGGGCAUUAGUAUUCAAUUGUCAGAGGUGAAAUUCUUGGAUUUAUUGAAGACUAACUUCUGCGAAAGCAUUUGCCAAGGAUGUUUUCAUUAAUCAAGAACGAAAGUUAGGGGAUCGAAGACGAUCAGAUACCGUCGU